AACCGAGUCUUAAUUGGGCGUUAAGUUGCAGGGUAUAGACCCGAAACCCGGUGAUCUAGCCAUGGGCAGGUUGAAGGUUGGGUAACACUAACUGGAGGACCGAACCGACUAAUGUUGAAAAAUUAGCGGAUGACCUGUGGCUGGGGGUGAAAGGCCAAUCAAACCGGGAGAUAGCUGGUUCUCCCCGAAAGCUAUUUAGGUAGCGCCUCGUGAAUUCAUCUCCGGGGGUAGAGCACUGUUUCGGCUAGGGGGCCAUCCCGGCUUACCAACCCGAUGCAAACUGCGAAUACCGGAGAAUGUUAUCACGGGAGACACACGGCGGGUGCUAACGUCCGUCGUGAAGAGGGAAACAACCCAGACCGCCAGCUAAGGUCCCAAAGUCAUGGUUAAGUGGGAAACGAUGUGGGAAGGCCCAGACAGCCAGGAUGUUGGCUUAGAAGCAGCCAUCAUUUAAAGAAAGCGUAAUAGCUCACUGGUCGAGUCGGCCUGCGCGGAAGAUGUAACGGGGCUAAACCAUGCACCGAAGCUGCGGCAGCGACACUGUGUGUUGUUGGGUAGGGGAGCGUUCUGUAAGCCUGUGAAGGUGGCCUGUGAGGGUUGCUGGAGGUAUCAGAAGUGCGAAUGCUGACAUAAGUAACGAUAAAGCGGGUGAAAAGCCCGCUCGCCGGAAGACCAAGGGUUCCUGUCCAACGUUAAUCGGGGCAGGGUGAGUCGACCCCUAAGGCGAGGCCGAAAGGCGUAGUCGAUGGGAAACGGGUUAAUAUUCCCGUACUUGGUGUUACUGCGAAGGGGGGACGGAGAAGGCUAUGUUGGCCGGGCGACGGUUGUCCCGGUUUAAGCGUGUAGGUGUGUGUUCCAGGUAAAUCCGGUUCACUUUAACACUGAGGCGUGAUGACGAGGCACUACGGUGCUGAAGCAACAAAUGCCCUGCUUCCAGGAAAAGCCUCUAAGCAUCAGGUAACAUCAAAUCGUACCCCAAACCGACACAGGUGGUCAGGUAGAGAAUACCAAGGCGCUUGAGAGAACUCGGGUGAAGGAACUAGGCAAAAUGGUGCCGUAACUUCGGGAGAAGGCACGCUGACACGUAGGUGAAGUGAUUUACUCAUGGAGCUGAAGUCAGUCGAAGAUACCAGCUGGCUGCAACUGUUUAUUAAAAACACAGCACUGUGCAAACACGAAAGUGGACGUAUACGGUGUGACGCCUGCCCGGUGCCGGAAGGUUAAUUGAUGGGGUCAGCGCAAGCGAAGCUCCUGAUCGAAGCCCCGGUAAACGGCGGCCGUAACUAUAACGGUCCUAAGGUAGCGAAAUUCCUUGUCGGGUAAGUUCCGACCUGCACGAAUGGCGUAAUGAUGGCCAGGCUGUCUCCACCCGAGACUCAGUGAAAUUGAACUCGCUGUGAAGAUGCAGUGUACCCGCGGCAAGACGGAAAGACCCCGUGAACCUUUACUAUAGCUUGACACUGAACAUUGAGCCUUGAUGUGUAGGAUAGGUGGGAGGCUUUGAAGUGUGGACGCCAGUCUGCAUGGAGCCGACCUUGAAAUACCACCCUUUAAUGUUUGAUGUUCUAACGUGGACCCGUAAUCCGGGUUGCGGACAGUGUCUGGUGGGUAGUUUGACUGGGGCGGUCUCCUCCUAAAGAGUAACGGAGGAGCACGAAGGUUGGCUAAUCCUGGUCGGACAUCAGGAGGUUAGUGCAAUGGCAUAAGCCAGCUUGACUGCGAGCGUGACGGCGCGAGCAGGUGCGAAAGCAGGUCAUAGUGAUCCGGUGGUUCUGAAUGGAAGGGCCAUCGCUCAACGGAUAAAAGGUACUCCGGGGAUAACAGGCUGAUACCGCCCAAGAGUUCAUAUCGACGGCGGUGUUUGGCACCUCGAUGUCGGCUCAUCACAUCCUGGGGCUGAAGUAGGUCCCAAGGGUAUGGCUGUUCGCCAUUUAAAGUGGUACGCGAGCUGGGUUUAGAACGUCGUGAGACAGUUCGGUCCCUAUCUGCCGUGGGCGCUGGAGAACUGAGGGGGGCUGCUCCUAGUACGAGAGGACCGGAGUGGACGCAUCACUGGUGUUCGGGUUGUCAUGCCAAUGGCACUGCCCGGUAGCUAAAUGCGGAAGAGAUAAGUGCUGAAAGCAUCUAAGCACGAAACUUGCCCCGA
RNAcentral lists this ribosomal RNA (2146 nucleotides) under Salmonella enterica subsp. enterica serovar Virchow. Its description in RNAcentral is "partial 23S ribosomal RNA". It matches the Rfam family "Bacterial large subunit ribosomal RNA", at positions 675 to 2802 of the family's 2925-position model. Lineage: Bacteria; Pseudomonadati; Pseudomonadota; Gammaproteobacteria; Enterobacterales; Enterobacteriaceae. The record is from RNAcentral.